AAGAGUAAAAUCUGUCAUAAGAUAGUAGUUUAGGAACUUCCUGUUGGUUCACAUUUAAAGCAGCUUGUAUUUAAUUUUCAUCUUGCCACUAAGAACCCAGAGUGAAGGUCAGGAGACCCAGAGACAGGGCACUUUGUUGAGAACUGAACCAGCGACCGGCUGGCUGCCUACACGAACUAGGAGCCAUAAUGGAACCCAAGCCUCAGAAGAGUCCAGGAGAGAGAGAGACAGCGUGAGCAGGGGAGGGUCA
This is a long non-coding RNA of Hyaena hyaena (striped hyena), 250 nucleotides long. RefSeq lists it as uncharacterized. The transcript has 3 exons. The record is from RefSeq and is a predicted model, not a curated record. Lineage: Eukaryota; Metazoa; Chordata; Mammalia; Carnivora; Hyaenidae.